UUAAGCGACUAAGCGUACACGGUGGAUGCCCUGGCAGUCAGAGGCGAUGAAGGACGUGCUAAUCUGCGAAAAGCGUCGGUAAGGUGAUAUGAACCGUUAUAACCGGCGAUGUCCGAAUGGGGAAACCCAGUGCAAUUCGUUGCACUAUCGUUAACUGAAUACAUAGGUUAACGAGGCGAACCGGGGGAACUGAAACAUCUAAGUACCCCGAGGAAAAGAAAUCAACCGAGAUUCCCCCAGUAGCGGCGAGCGAACGGGGAGCAGCCCAGAGUCUGAAUCAGCUUGUGUGUUAGUGGAACGGUCUGGAAAGUCCGACGGUACAGGGUGAUAGUCCCGUACACCAAAAUGCACAGGCUGUGAACUCGAAGAGUAGGGCGGGACACGUGGUAUCCUGUCUGAAUAUGGGGGGACCAUCCUCCAAGGCUAAAUACUCCUGACUGACCGAUAGUGAACCAGUACCGUGAGGGAAAGGCGAAAAGAACCCCGGCGAGGGGAGUGAAAAAGAACCUGAAACCGUGUACGUACAAGCAGUGGGAGCACCUUCGGGUGUGACUGCGUACCUUUUGUAUAAUGGGUCAGCGACUUAUAUUCUGUAGCAAGGUUAACCGUAUAGGGGAGCCGCAGGGAAACCGAGUCUUAACUGGGCGUUAAGUUGCAGGGUAUAGACCCGAAACCCGGUGAUCUAGCCAUGGGCAGGUUGAAGGUUGGGUAACACUAACUGGAGGACCGAACCGACUAAUGUUGAAAAAUUAGCGGAUGACUUGUGGCUGGGGGUGAAAGGCCAAUCAAACCGGGAGAUAGCUGGUUCUCCCCGAAAGCUAUUUAGGUAGCGCCUCGUGAAUUCAUCUUCGGGGGUAGAGCACUGUUUCGGCUAGGGGGUCAUCCCGACUUACCAACCCGAUGCAAACUACGAAUACCGAAGAAUGUUAUCACGGGAGACACACGGCGGGUGCUAACGUCCGUCGUGAAGAGGGAAACAACCCAGACCGCCAGCUAAGGUCCCAAAGUCAUGGUUAAGUGGGAAACGAUGUGGGAAGGCACAGACAGCCAGGAUGUUGGCUUAGAAGCAGCCAUCAUUUAAAGAAAGCGUAAUAGCUCACUGGUCGAGUCGGCCUGCGCGGAAGAUGUAACGGGGCUAAACCAUGCACCGAAGCUGCGGCAGCGACACUAUGUGUUGUUGGGUAGGGGAGCGUUCUGUAAGCCUGCGAAGGUGUGCUGUGAGGCAUGCUGGAGGUAUCAGAAGUGCGAAUGCUGACAUAAGUAACGAUAAAGCGGGUGAAAAGCCCGCUCGCCGGAAGACCAAGGGUUCCUGUCCAACGUUAAUCGGGGCAGGGUGAGUCGACCCCUAAGGCGAGGCCGAAAGGCGUAGUCGAUGGGAAACAGGUUAAUAUUCCUGUACUUGGUGUUACUGCGAAGGGGGGACGGAGAAGGCUAUGUUAGCCGGGCGACGGUUGUCCCGGUUUAAGCAUGUAGGCUGGUUGUCCAGGCAAAUCCGGAUAAUCAAGGCUGAGGUGUGAUGACGAGGCACUACGGUGCUGAAGUAACAAAUGCCCUGCUUCCAGGAAAAGCCUCUAAGCAUCAGGUAACAUCAAAUCGUACCCCAAACCGACACAGGUGGUCAGGUAGAGAAUACCAAGGCGCUUGAGAGAACUCGGGUGAAGGAACUAGGCAAAAUGGUGCCGUAACUUCGGGAGAAGGCACGCUGGUGUGUAGGUGAAGCCCCUGCGGGUGGAGCUGAGACCAGUCGAAGAUACCAGCUGGCUGCAACUGUUUAUUAAAAACACAGCACUGUGCAAACACGAAAGUGGACGUAUACGGUGUGACGCCUGCCCGGUGCCGGAAGGUUAAUUGAUGGGGUUAUCCGUAAGGAGAAGCUCUUGAUCGAAGCCCCGGUAAACGGCGGCCGUAACUAUAACGGUCCUAAGGUAGCGAAAUUCCUUGUCGGGUAAGUUCCGACCUGCACGAAUGGCGUAAUGAUGGCCAGGCUGUCUCCACCCGAGACUCAGUGAAAUUGAACUCGCUGUGAAGAUGCAGUGUACCCGCGGCAAGACGGAAAGACCCCGUGAACCUUUACUAUAGCUUGACACUGAACAUUGAGCCUUGAUGUGUAGGAUAGGUGGGAGGCUUUGAAGCGUGGACGCCAGUCUGCGUGGAGCCAACCUUGAAAUACCACCCUUUAAUGUUUGAUGUUCUAACGUUGGCCCCUUACCGGGGUUGCGGACAGUGUCUGGUGGGUAGUUUGACUGGGGCGGUCUCCUCCCAAAGCGUAACGGAGGAGCACGAAGGUUAGCUAAUCCUGGUCGGACAUCAGGAGGUUAGUGCAAUGGCAUAAGCUAGCUUGACUGCGAGCGUGACGGCGCGAGCAGGUGCGAAAGCAGGUCAUAGUGAUCCGGUGGUUCUGAAUGGAAGGGCCAUCGCUCAACGGAUAAAAGGUACUCCGGGGAUAACAGGCUGAUACCGCCCAAGAGUUCAUAUCGACGGCGGUGUUUGGCACCUCGAUGUCGGCUCAUCACAUCCUGGGGCUGAAGUAGGUCCCAAGGGUAUGGCUGUUCGCCAUUUAAAGUGGUACGCGAGCUGGGUUUAGAACGUCGUGAGACAGUUCGGUCCCUAUCUGCCGUGGGCGCUGGAGAAUUGAGGGGGGCUGCUCCUAGUACGAGAGGACCGGAGUGGACGCAUCACUGGUGUUCGGGUUGUCAUGCCAAUGGCACUGCCCGGUAGCUAAAUGCGGAAGAGAUAAGUGCUGAAAGCAUCUAAGCACGAAACUUGCCCCGAGAUGAGUUCUCCCUGAGACUUUAAGUCUCCUGAAGGAACGUUAAAGACGAUGACGUUGAUAGGCCGGGUGUGUAAGCGCAGCGAUGCGUUGAGCUAACCGGUACUAAUGAACCGUGAGGCUUAACCUU
Molecule: ribosomal RNA, 2900 nt
Filed under: Klebsiella pneumoniae
Lineage: Bacteria; Pseudomonadati; Pseudomonadota; Gammaproteobacteria; Enterobacterales; Enterobacteriaceae
Description: bacterial LSU rRNA
Rfam family: Bacterial large subunit ribosomal RNA
Source: RNAcentral